GAGCUUCUGCCUCAGAGCUCAUCUCAGUCUCCCCUCUGGCAGGUUAAAGCCAUUCCCCUUGUCCUGUCCCUACAGGGCCCUUCAUUUCCAUCAGGAAGGACUGCUCACUGCGUUCCUUCCCCCCUGGCAGUGCUUCAGUUGUCAUCAUCCCUAACAGCAAGAAGAGAGCUCUGUGCAGGUCCCUCUGUUUCCCUUCUUUCUCUGUUCGGGGUGAAACUCCACUGAUGACAUUGUUGUUUGUGGAGCAUGUUGUGGGCAACUGGGAGUUGGGAGCAGGGACAGGGCAUGGCCCUGUAAAAGCACUGUAGGAGCAUCCUGUGAGGUUUGAUGUCAAGUAGUUUUCAGAGCUGGGGGGCAACUGGAAGUUAACAGUAGAAGGCACUGCAGAGAUACCAGCCAAGUAUGUCACCAGCUCAAGUCAAAGGGACAGAUAAGGUGAGCUCUGGCUUAGUGAGCCUCACACUUGAAGUGUGGCACUUGCCUGACAAAAUGACAAACCUUUGCUGACAUGGUGGCUAUAGCCAGGACUGUGACUGACGCCUCGUGUGCCAUCAAAACUAUGAUGUGAAUGAACAUCUCCUGGUGUGUGUUAGUUCAUUUUGGGGCAAAAGCAUCAGCAAUCUUAGUGGAAGUGCAGUUCUGUAACACACAACCAAUUCCUAGCGCAUCCUAAGAGUAUUCCCUGAUGUAAUACAGGAGCCGUUGCAGAUCCGGUCCAACAGCCUGAGGACAUACAUCUCAGAUGGCUGGAAAACGAAGGGCAGCAGCCCAGAAUCCAGGCAGAACUUCAAAGCCACACUUUAAAUUGCUGCCCUUCUUUUUGCUCACUGAUGAUUUUGCAUUAUAUCUGAGAUCAGUCGGGAAGAAGAGAAAGACUUUGAGCAGGAGACUAAAGUAACACAUGACAGAACUGUUGGAUGUUUUAAUGUCUGGGGGAUUUAGUCCCUUAUCUCUAAUGCCAGCUGGGGAGAAUCAAAGACUUCUCUUGGUAUUAGAUGAAAAUUAAAACAUCACUUAUAAGAAGUGAUGGUCGAGCUGAAGGAGGGGCAGAGGUUCACCUUGAGGUUUGGCUUUGAUUAAGUAUCCAGAAAUACCAAUGCUUCUUCAAAUGAUCUGAAACUCUUGGCAUGGAUGGGGCAGGGAGGACACCCUGUUUCUCCAGCAGUUUCUGGGCACAGGAGGACAGAGAAAUGUGGCCACUUCCCUUCCUCUUGUGCUCAGAAAUCAUCCAGAAAGGCUCUUAUUUUAAUGGUCAUGGAGCAGAAAUGUCAAACAGUAGAAGUACUGAGUGAAUUUCUAGAGAAGCCUGGGCUCUGUGAGGGCAGCAGCUUGCUUUACUCCUCGUCUUGUUCAAGUAUUUCCCCCUGCCUCAAUUCCAGGUGAUGAGUUCUGUUCUCCAUCCACUGCUUCCCUCCCGGACCUACCUGUGCCAUGCAGAACUCCCCGCUGUGUGUUCACAUGGGUGUUGUGGGACACUGGAGACCCCUAUGGCCAAGUGGAGAGAAUGGCAUCACAAACGGAUGUGAUCCCUGUUGUAUCACAGGGUUUGUGCCCUGCUGAGUUCUGCUUUCAUUACAGUCUGUGGAUUGCGGCUGCAGUUUGAAACUGAAGCAACAAACAACACUGAGCUUCACAGGGCUUGCUCACACAUCAGAAACCCAGACAAACAGAAUGGUUGGGGUUGGAAGGACCUUAAAGAUCAUCUACUUCCAAAUGAUGCCACAAGGGAGAAAGACUGGCAGCUUCAGCACAAAGGAGAGUCCAAGUGCUCAGCCGACCUGAGCGUGGAGCAUUAUCCACAGCCUGCUCUUUUCUUUACCAUAUACCUUCAUUUCCUGCACACUUUAUUCAGGACACAGAAAAAAUACAGAUAUAUAUAUUCCUAUUAGUAGAAAUCAUCCAUUUUAUGCUGCCAGCAAU
Molecule: long non-coding RNA, 1920 nt
Organism: Strigops habroptila (Kakapo)
Lineage: Eukaryota; Metazoa; Chordata; Aves; Psittaciformes; Psittacidae
Source: Ensembl